This 373-nucleotide ribosomal RNA is filed under the name uncultured organism. RNAcentral's name for it is "bacterial SSU rRNA". It matches the Rfam family "Bacterial small subunit ribosomal RNA", at positions 525 to 896 of the family's 1533-position model. The record is from RNAcentral.
CGGUAGGGGGCAAGCGUUGUCCGGAUUUAUUGGGCGUAAAGAGCGUGUAGGCGGCCAGACAGGUCCGUUGUGAAAACUCGAGGCUCAACCUCGAGACGUCGACGGAAACCGUCUGGCUAGAGUCCGGAAGAGGAGUGUGGAAUUCCUGGUGUAGCGGUGAAAUGCGCAGAUAUCAGGAAGAACACCUAUGGCGAAGGCAGCACUCUGGGACGGUACUGACGCUGAGACGCGAAAGCGUGGGGAGCGAACAGGAUUAGAUACCCUGGUAGUCCACGCCGUAAACGAUGGAUGCUAGGUGUGGGCGGUGUCGACUCCGUCCGUGCCGAAGCUAACGCAUUAAGCAUCCCGCCUGGGGAGUACGGCCGCAAGGCUA